UACGGGGGGGAGCAAGCGUUGUUCGGAUUUACUGGGCGUAAAGGGCGCGUAGGCGGCCAGCACAAGUCAGUUGUGAAAUCUCCGAGCUUAACUCGGAACGGUCAAGUGAUACUGUCGGACUAGAGUACAGAAGGGGCAACUGGAAUUCUCGGUGUAGCGGUGAAAUGCGUAGAUAUCGUAAGGAAGACCAGUGGCGAAGGCGAGUCUCUGGACAGUUACUGACGCUGAGGCACGAAGGCCAGGGGAGCAAACGGG
Molecule: ribosomal RNA, 255 nt
Filed under: uncultured bacterium
Lineage: Bacteria
Description: partial 16S ribosomal RNA
Rfam family: Bacterial small subunit ribosomal RNA
Source: RNAcentral